AUGACAGGCGCCCGGUGGUCGUUUGCGGUGGCACGAUCGGCGCAAGUCCUGCAUAUAUUUCCCUUGCGAUGCUCGUCGUCAAAGUCGGAGCUGUCGAUUGCUUGUGCGUGUGGCCAUCUGUUGGGAUGUGCCGUCCUGGCUUCUCUGGCUGUUUUCUUCUUUGCAGUUUCAGGUUCCACAAUCGUUCGAUACAUAAUUCACCACACAGGGCGGUUCCACGUCGGUGGCCAGGUUGGUCGAUGGUGCCCAUGUCAUAUGGGUUUUUCGCCAAUUAACCGGGCAAUUCUUUUUUUCUUAAUCAAUAAAAGUGGCCAGUCUUUUGCCUCUUUUUCUAAGGUACUCCCUCCGUCUGGAAAUACUUGUCAUCAAAAUGGAUAA
RNAcentral lists this ribosomal RNA (378 nucleotides) under Triticum aestivum (bread wheat). Its description in RNAcentral is "partial small subunit ribosomal RNA". Lineage: Eukaryota; Viridiplantae; Streptophyta; Magnoliopsida; Poales; Poaceae. The record is from RNAcentral.